Arachis ipaensis is the source of this 2618-nucleotide non-coding RNA. The record is from RefSeq and is a predicted model, not a curated record. NCBI's taxonomy places the organism in Eukaryota, Viridiplantae, Streptophyta, Magnoliopsida, Fabales, Fabaceae.
GUUCAGUUUCUAAACCAUUUAAAAUGGUUUAGUGCAGUUUCAGUUCAGUUUAUGGAAAAACUGAACCAUGCACACCCCUAGUCAAAGCCAGAGAGGCGAAGAAUGGUCGCUGGAGUAGUCGAUGCUCGCCGAAAUUGAGAAGAAUAGGGGCUGCUUCGCUGUUCAAUUCGCCAGAAAUCAAGCUGGAGGCAAGGGCUGAGUUAGGGCUACAAGAAAAGGGGAAGGCUAGUGACACUGUUCGAGGCUUCGAGUUCGAGCGUGUCUUCGUCGUCUCGCCGUUGUCGUCUUGCUCUCAGUCGAAGUUAUUGAUUGCAGGCUUAGGGUGAUUAUUUGUUCUGGAACUGUUGUUUCACUGCCUGAGGGGAAAGUAAGUUCUCCCCAUCCUCCAUCGAAGUAAGUUCUCCCCAUCCUCCAUCGGAUUCGUCCUGCUCGUCCCCUCUCGAUGUUGAAUCAGUAGUAAAUCAGUGACUAAAGCAAUUUGAUGACCGGUCCGGUUCUUAGAACCUUCGUAAAAGGAGAGACAAGCUAUGAUAUAAAUUUGCUAAAUUGGGAAACUAAUGUAAGAGACCUGGAGAUGAACAACACCUUACAGCAAGGAUUGUAUGCUACUGGUUAUGUACGACUGGCAGUUGAGUUUAUUUGAUUUGCAAGAAAUUGCAUGGCUCACUGCCAAAUCGUGAUUCCAACUAAUAUUGCCGAUGCUGCGGUGGGUAGUCAUGCCGAAUUCUUAGCGGGAGAGAUUGAGCAUUGUGCCCAGCAUUUUUGUGCGCAACACAUACAAAGUUGGUGGAACGGCGAAUUUUUAGCUUUGAUAUAUGCACUGAAUGAAGGUUUUGACUAAGAUGUUUUGUUCUCUCCUGUCUUGAUCUUCCAAGGCUUUUGAUCGAUACCGCAAGCUCCCUAGUUACAUUGAAUAAAAGCUUUUACCAUUUCAGAGAGAAGGUGUAAGGUUUAUUUUGCAACAUGGAGAACGUGCCCUUUUAGCAGAUGAAAUGGUUGUGAUUGUAGAUGAAUCAUACUAUCUGAAGAAUCUCAGGAAAAGACUGCAACUCUUCGGGUUAUAAAGGUGACAAGCUUCAAAGCUACAAUUACAUGCUUGCUUCUGGUAUACUUGCUUUUAAAAUAUCCAUUUGUCUAUCAAGCAUAGAAAUUUGUGGGAAAAAAUUAGAGAGAAUAAAAAAGUAUUUAAACAAAUAACCCAAAAUAAAAAAGAAGUUUCCAGCACAUGCAAAGGUUCUAGUACUCUAAACCAUCUUCCCUUGCUCUGCAUUCUGCAAAUGGGAGUCUGGUGUCAUAUGUAAAACCUUUUAGAGAGCUAAGAUGAUAUUCUCUUAAUUUUGCUUUUCUUUUAAAUAAAUAAAUAACCAGCUUCAAGCACAUGCAGAAUCGUGCACAAGUACUCAAGUAAUGUGAACUCAUGUUUCCCUCUUCCCAAUGUGAGAGUCCAGUGUCAUGUGUAAAAUAGUUUUAUGUCACCUGCUAGCUGCUGAGUAAGCUUUCUUCAUCUAAUUCUCUCAUGCUUUCUUUCAAUUGAAGUCUAAAAAUGGCAGAAAGCUCAAUAUUCAAUAUUGCUUAGUGGAACUCCUGCCUUAUUCCGACCAAUAGAACUGUUCAAGCAGCUGGAAGCUUUCUAUCCUGAUGUAUAUAAGAAUGUUCAUUAAUAUGGGAGUUUUUAGAGUUUAUCAAGGGGCAAGUAAUCAUGAAGAAUUACACAAUUUGUUGAAGGCCACAGUGAUGACACGAAGGCUUAAAAAAGUUGUUCUUUCUCAACUUCCUGCAAAGUGUAGGCAACAAGUGCGUUCGUUUAUCUCCAUCCCUUCUAUGCAAUCUCUCGUGCACUCUUUUGCUAUUGUUUGUUUCAAUCAAUGAACAUUCACAGGUCUUCUUAGACUUGGAACUUGGAACUUCCUUUUUUUUGGUUGAUCCUCAGGUCUUCUUAGACUUAGCUGACAACUGACAAGGACAUGAAGCAAAUUAACGCUUUAUUCCGUGAGGUUCAUUUGCAGUCUUGAACCUGGCCCCUCUCGUACUACUUAUCCCCAAAAAUUUCUGUGCCCCUUCUGGGUCUCGGCAGCAGCAACUACACCAAUUGCCUUGCGCAUGAUGAGUAUGUGGAGGUACCACUUGUUACCACACCUUUGGAGAAGGUGUUUGCCAUUUUGGUUAACUACCAGAAUGGCCGUGUCGCGUUAUAUCAAUAUCUUGAUGUGUUUUUUGAGGGUAGUCAACCCAGCAUGGAACUAUUGGAUUCCGGAUCCAAAUCGGUGCUGUUCUUCUCAGUUUUCACACUGUUGGUGUGGAAGGACUUUGCAGCAUUGCAACUUGACAGUGGGGCUCCUCCCAUGGAGCGAGAUUUCUUGCAAGUAACUGUCCAUAGGAAGUGUGUCUACACCAUGGAGAACCGGAAGCUUGCUAAUUAUAUGCGCGCCUUUGUUUGGCCACCUACUAAGGGUGGAAGAUUUCAGCAUAUGACAGAUAUAUGAUAGCAACAUUUCUUGUUAUUUACUGUGGCUUUUUAUCCUUUUUAAUAGGAUUAUGAAUGAACAAUGAAUUAAAUAUAAUGUCUUUGAGGAUUAUGAUCUUGCUUGAAUUAUGUCUAUAUUCUCUUUAGCCCGAAA